UCCUAAAGAGUGUUUCCUUUAUCAUGUUAAUGAUUCUACAUCAUUGCCUCUCCCUAUUUGCUCCAGCAAUUUCAGAAAAACUUGCUUAAAACCAGCAUUUAAAAAACCUGGAAAUAGAUCAAGAUAAGCUAGAAUUCAAAAAACAAAGCCCAAUUUGUGUGUGGAGUGCUUCCAAGGAUCUCGAAUGGACUCCGGGCAUUAACAUCUUUUCUGGAAUUCAAACAUUAUAACUGGAAGCCUGGAGGUUUUGCUCUCCAUCUCUUGCUUAUGUUCCACAGACAUGGUUCUCCUUGUUAAUACUCUGAAACGUUGAAGAUUUCUAGCCCUUUGGCCUCAGUGACCCACCCCCCACCCCCAAAUCCCAAGCCCUUUCUCGAGUCUGCAUCCUACAGGGCAAGCUCAAACAUGUUCUCAAAGAACAAUUCUUGCAGAAGACUCUCAGUGGCCAGCUCUCUCUCUCUUCCUCAACUAGUGAGUCAACAAAGCAAGAUCAGGUUUGUUCAGCAUCAUGAAGGACCGAGGACAGGGCAGCACCAUUGGGAUAGCCACCCGCUCCAGGUUCACCUGCAGGGAAAGAAAGAAGGAGUCUCAAGAUCAAAGGACAGCUCAGACAUUUUCACAACCCAACCAUCAGAAGAGAGGGCUUCCCUAAGGAGACGUUGAACUGGUUCGGGCACAUCCCUAGUUUACGGUCAUGUGAAGUACCCUAUAUAGUGCCUUGUGUGUGCAUGUGCAUGCAUGAGAGAGUGGGGAGGACUAGUGCAGCCCUCAAGAGCCUUUGUGGGACACUUACUCAGGAAGAGGAAAAUCCCAGCAAUUGCAACUGCCAGUAAAACAGCUCCGACUGCAGCCACCACCAUGGGAACCAAAAAGGCCUUUGGCUCUGAAAUGAAAAGAAGAAGAAAAGGACCCAGACGUCAAGGAAGUGCCAGCGUUUUGCCAUCAUGGAGACUGGUCCUGCCCCACCGUUAUUAGCAUCCUUUCUCCCUACUUCUCUAAAAGCCUCUCUGCCAUUUUCAUUCAUUUCCAAAUGUUCAUAAAGAUCCCAUUAUUCCACAUGGACAUUUUGCGACUCAUGCAUACCAUCAGAGGUUGCCCACAAGAUGGGAUUUGUGGUGCUGAGGAAGCUGAAGGUUCUCACACACUGAAAAUAGUUCAGAUCCCAUGAUGCACUGCAAACUUGACCAAAUACACACAGGCAGUACCAAUUCAUGCACCGAAUUGGUAGUGCCUGUGUGUAUUUGAUCAGCUUGCAUUGCAUCAUGGGAGAUGUAGUGUUUUCAACAUAUGUCUGUUUAUAAGAGAUGAAUAUUUGGAGGGGAACAAUGGGAUGAACAAAUACACACAGGCGAUACCUGUGAGCACCAAGUUGGCAUCAGUAUUGAGUUGGUGUGAACUGAGUUGUUAUCGUCUGUGUGCAUUUGUUCAGAUCUGUAGUGCAUCAUGGGAUCUGUAAUGUUUUCAAAUGUAUGUUAAUCUACAAGAGAAGGUUUGGAAUAAAUGUUUGGAGAGAAACAAUGGGA
This is a long non-coding RNA of Hemicordylus capensis (graceful crag lizard), 1523 nucleotides long. RefSeq lists it as uncharacterized. The transcript is spliced from 3 exons. Lineage: Eukaryota; Metazoa; Chordata; Lepidosauria; Squamata; Cordylidae. The record is from RefSeq and is a predicted model, not a curated record.